CCUACGUGGGGCAGCAGUGAGGAAUAUUGGGCAAUGGGCGCGAGCCUGAACCAGCCAAGUAGCGUGAAGGAUGACUGCCCUACGGGUUGUAAACUUCUUUUAUAAAGGAAUAAAGUGAGGCACGUGUGCCUUUUUGUAUGUACUUUAUGAAUAAGGAUCGGCUAACUCCGUGCCAGCAGCCGCGUGAAUACGGAGGUUCCGGACGUUAUCCGGAUUUAUUGGGUGUAAAGGGAGCGUAGAUGGGUUGUUAAGUCGGUUGUGAAAGUUUGCGGCUCAACCGUAAAAUUGCAAUUGAUACUGGCAGUCUUGAGUACAGUUGAGGUAGGCGGAAUUCGUGGUGUAGCGGUGAAAUGCUUAGAUAUCACGAAGAACUCCGAUUGCGAAGGCAGCUUACUAAACUGCAACUGACAUUGAUGCUCGAAAGUGUGGGUAUCAAACAGGAUUAGAUACCCGAGUAGUC
This 460-nucleotide ribosomal RNA is filed under the name uncultured bacterium. Its description in RNAcentral is "partial 16S ribosomal RNA". It matches the Rfam family "Bacterial small subunit ribosomal RNA", at positions 338 to 795 of the family's 1533-position model. The record is from RNAcentral.